UCCCUUAGCCCCACCCUUUCCGCCAGCACUCCCGCAUUCUAUUGGUUUAUUUACCAUUCAUUUCCAGUUCCUCGGCGCUGAUUGGCUGUUACCCCCAUCAAUCUUCCCGUUGCUACGCAACACCACCAAAGGGCGGAAACUAAGGCGGCCAUGGCGGCGCCCAUCUACGAGCCCUCAGCGUCCGUGGCUCUGUCGGAGCUCACGGCGCUGCUCUCUCCGUCCUCCCCCGCCGCUCCCGAAGCAGCCGAGGCCGCCCUGGCCCUCUCGGGCAGCGCCUCAGGCCGGGCGCUGCUUGCGGAACACCCCGCGGCCUUAUCGGCCUUGUGCGCCUUGGCAGCCUCGGCCUCGCGUGGAGCGCGGCCCGCCUUGUCCGCGCUGGUCAACGCAUCCUCGGAGCCCGCCGCGCUGGAGCCGCUUCUCGCCGCUCUCCCUUCUCUUGUCCCGCUUCUCCCCAGCUCCGGAGCGGCGUGCGGGGUGCUGGCCAACCUGAGCCGGGACGCGGCGGCGGCGCCGCGGGUGCUGCGGGCGCUGGGCCCCGGAGCGGAGCCGCUGCUGCUGCGGGCGCUGAGCGCGGAGCGGCCGCCGGCGGAGCUCGGGGCGCUGCUCUGCAACCUCAGCCAGGCCCCCGAGGGCCGCCAGGUGCUGCUGGAACCCACAGGGCGGGUGCUGCGGCGGCUCCUGGCGCUGCUGCGCUGCCGCCCGCCCGAGCUGCGGAGCGGAGCCGUCGGCGCUCUGCGGAACUGCUGCUUCCAGCACGCAACCCCUCUGGAAUUCCCAGAACACCACGAGCAGAUCCUGAGCCCCGAGCUGGAGGCGCUGCCACUGCUGCUGCUGCCCCUGGCCGGCCCCGAGGAGCUCCCCGAGGAGGAGAUGGAGCAACUUCCCGUGGUCCUGCAGUACCUCCCCCCGGAGCACCGGCGGGAAGAGGAGCCGGAGAUCCGGAAAAUGCUGCUGGAAACCUUGCUGCUGCUGGCGGCCACCGGGGCGGGGCGGGCGGCGCUGCGCUCCUGCGGCGCCUACCUGGUGCUGCGGGGGCUGCACGGCUGCGAGCGGCACCGCGGCGUGCUGCGCGCCUGCCGCAACCUCAUCCAGGUGCUGAUCGGGGACGAGCCCGAGGCGGGGCUGGAGAACCUGCUGGAGGUGACAAUUCCUGAGCAGGUGCAGAAACACCUGAGGGACCUGGACAGGCACGAGCAGGAGCAGGAGCAGCAGGAGGAGGAGGAGGAGGGGACACACAGGGGACACCGGGAUGGCACCAGGUGACACCAGGAUGGCUCCAGGUGACACCAGGAUGGCACCAGGUGACACCGGGACAGCUCCAGGUGACACCAGGAUGGCCCCAGGGGACACCAGAUGGCUCCAGGUGACACCAAAAUGGCUCCAGGUGACACCAAAAUGGCUCCAGGUGACACCAAAAUGGCUCCAGGGGACACCAAAAUGGAUCCAGGUGGCACCAAAACGGCUCCAGGGGACACCAGGAGGGCCCCAGGUGACACCAAAAUGGCUCCAGGUGACACCAAAAUGGCUCCAGGGGACACCUGGAUGGCACCAGGUGACACCAAAAUGGCACCAGGUGACACCAAAAUGGCUCCAGGUGACACCGGGAUGGAUCCAGGUGACACCAAAAUGGCUCCAGGUGACACCAAAAUGGAUCCAGGUGACACCAGGAGGGACUGUGGGGACAUGGUGCUGUCCCCAAGGAGCCAUCAGAAGGACCACGUGUCCCCAAGGGCCACCACGGUGACAGUGACGUGUCCCCAAGGGCCACCAUGGGGGUGUGCUGUCCCCAGGGUCACACAGGUGACACUGCUGUCCCUAAGAUCACACAGGUGACACUGCUGUCCCCAAGGGCCACAGAGGUGACCCUGCU
RNA transcript from Haemorhous mexicanus (house finch), 1870 nucleotides. It is a transcript of the gene named HGH1 homolog, with no coding region annotated. The transcript is spliced from 9 exons. NCBI's taxonomy places the organism in Eukaryota, Metazoa, Chordata, Aves, Passeriformes, Fringillidae. The record is from RefSeq and is a predicted model, not a curated record.